GCCGGGCAUGGUGGCGAGUGCCUGUAAUCCCAGCUACUUGGGAGGCUGAGGCAGGAGAAUCGCUCAAACCCGGGAGGCUAAAGUUGCAGUGAGCUGAGAUUGAGCCACUGCAUUCCAGCCUGGGUGACAGAGUGAGAAUCUGUCUCAA
This 148-nucleotide non-coding RNA is filed under the name Gorilla gorilla gorilla (western lowland gorilla). Lineage: Eukaryota; Metazoa; Chordata; Mammalia; Primates; Hominidae. The record is from Rfam by way of RNAcentral.